UAGAGAGUGGACCAGAAUUCUCAGCUGAGAUGACACAACCUUCUCUGGAGGGAUUCCCUCUCCUCCACCGCUGACAGCCAAGACCUCAGAACACCUCACAAACCAGGACCUUCACUUUGGACGGCGCAAGGGAACUCGGCGCUCACUUCUCCCUGGCUAGGAAAAGACCGU
This 171-nucleotide long non-coding RNA is filed under the name Dasypus novemcinctus (nine-banded armadillo). RNAcentral's name for it is "lncRNA (ENSDNOG00000052255.1)". The record is from RNAcentral. Lineage: Eukaryota; Metazoa; Chordata; Mammalia; Cingulata; Dasypodidae.